Molecule: ribosomal RNA, 559 nt
Filed under: Trachinotus ovatus (derbio)
Lineage: Eukaryota; Metazoa; Chordata; Actinopteri; Carangiformes; Carangidae
Description: partial 16S ribosomal RNA
Rfam family: Bacterial large subunit ribosomal RNA
Source: RNAcentral
UAAGAGGUCCCGCCUGCCCGGUGACAAUAAAAGUUUAACGGCCGCGGUAUUUUGACCGUGCAAAGGUAGCGUAAUCACUUGUCUUUUAAAUGAAGACCCGUAUGAAUGGCAUAACGAGGGCUUAACUGUCUCCUCUUUCUAGUCAAUGAAAUUGAUCUUCCCGUGCAGAAGCGGGAAUAAUAACAUAAGACGAGAAGACCCUAUGGAGCUUUAGACACUAAGACAGACCAUGUUAAUCACCUCUAAAUAAAGAUUUAAACUAAAUGACACCCUGUCCUAAUGUCUUCGGUUGGGGCGACCAUGGGGAAACACAAAACCCCCACGCGGAAUGGGAGGAUUAACCCUUCUUUUACCCUCCCACAAUUAAGAGUUACAACUCUAACUAACAGAAUUUCUGACCAAGCAUGAUCCGGCAAUGCCGAUCAACGAACCAAGUUACCCUAGGGAUAACAGCGCAAUCCCCUUUUAGAGUCCAUAUCGACAAGGGGGUUUACGACCUCGAUGUUGGAUCAGGACAUCCUAAUGGUGCAGCCGCUAUUAAGGGUUCGUUUGUUCAACG